CCUCAGUCAUCUCAGAUAAGGUACGCUCAACCUGUGUCAAAUUUUUAAAAACACUUGGAUGUUAAUAGUUUUUGUAUUAUCACUUCUUGGCCUCCUUUUUUGUUCUGUUUUGUUUUUAGCCAAUGUCCAUUGUGCAGAUGCCUCAUUUUCCAACUACCUCCUUCAGGUGUUCCCUCUUCUCUGCCUGAACCAAAAACAGCCUCUUACCUGAAGUCAUUGAUUCCUUUGCACACUGUUCCUUGCUGACUGAUUUGUUCCUACAUUCUGUAUGACUCCUGGUGGGAGGAAGUGGUGGUGUUUUCCUUCCUCCCCAUGGCCUCUACUUGCAUCUCAAUUCUCCUACACACUGUUCUUUCACUCUGAUAGAAUAAUUUUGGGUUUUGGGGGGGGGUUUCUUGUUUUGUUUUGUUUUGGGUUUUUUUGCGGUACUGGGGAUCGAACUCAGGACCUUGCGCUUGUGAGGCAGGCGCGGUGCCUCUGAGCUAAAUCCCCAGCCCCAUCUGAUAGAAUAAUUAAUGAGCAAUUUUCCCCACACUUGUCUCUGUCUUGACUCCAAGCAGGCAGCAGACUUUGGUCUUCCUGGCCAAAGGGUACACCUUGACAGUGUGGAAGCAAACCUGCUUGAAGACAACCCUCUCCCUCACUGUUCUCCUCUGAUGUCCUGCUUGGGCAUUAAGGACUAGGCUGUGGGGAGAGAGGGAGAAGAACAACAGGAAGAAAGAAGAUUCUGUGGGGAACAAAGAAUGCAAAUGCUAGUGACAGCCCUCUAGCCAUGUGGAUUAUCUUUGCCGUGACCAAAUCCCUGACACGCACAGUUUAAAAGAGGAAAAGUUUAUUUGGUUUAUGGUUGCAGAUAUUUCAGUUCAUGAUUGAACCUGUGUUUUCAAUUCUUCAGCCCUUGCCUCAAGCAGAACUGAAUCUUGACACUUUGGCCAGGUGACUUUUCAGUGCUCCCACGGUACCAGGUGGGAGAUAAGUCCCCACUCUGUGGAUGUGGAUGGAGGUCAUGUGACGUGCUUUAGUUGGUCCCCUUCUGACCUUAGCAUUUAUCAUGAGGAAGCACAUGGUAGACCCAGAAAAAAGACAUGGGAAAUAAAGUGAAGUAGAACUGAAGUCUGGAACCAACUGUAGCCAAACUCCACCCACUUCCAGUUCAUCUGAAAUCUCAAAUGUAGAGAACAUUUUUGAAAGCCACAGAGAUUAUGGAGUUAACAUGAACGCAGCCAAAAUUGACUGAGAAACUUACACUUAGAAGAGGACUUCUUCUAUGAAAAAUCCUGAAGUGUGUCUAUUGUAGGAAACUGGAAAACUGACAACAAAGGUUGUGCAGCUGUGGAGCACAUGAGAUGCCACUCUCGCCCAAGAACUCGAGAGUUAGAAAUGCAUGCAUUCAACUUGUGGCCCUGAGCAAAGAGUUACUGGCAAGAAGUUAAUAGUACAAGUGGCUACUGUUUCUACACUUGAUAAGAGGAAGGAGACACACUCAGAGUCUAACUGGCCAGUGUGUAUACAGACUUGAAAACAAGAAUUUAGAGAGCCCAGGGUUUCACAAUUUUCAGGAAGUGAGACUGGUUCUCAUCUCAAACUGUGGACAAUGAAAAUGACCAACAUUUGAAACUGGAAAGUCAUUCUAAAGCACAGGUUUAGGGCAAAGGCUAUCUGAGUGUGUUGUCAUCACCAAGACCUCAGGGAGGAUUAAGGCAGCGCCUCGAAGACGGCUUCAAAGAAGUCUGAGAGGGUGGACACACACGAUCCUGAGACACCCAGAGUGGGGACGAGAUGUCUCAAAAAGAGUCACAGAAGCAUUGUCACACAACAGCACGCCAUACUCUAUAAAUGAGGAAAAUCGUGCCGGAACAAAUUUCCUUGUACUAAAUUAUCUUUCUCGCCCUGCUUAGCUCUGUUGCUCCAAGCAUGUUUAUCUAUGGAACAUCAGGAAGGACUUAGGAAUGCUUUGCAUUCUGCGUUCCCAGAUUCCUAAGUUCCUACAUUCCUCUGUAAGGUCUUACUGUGCCCAACAUUGUGUUCCACCGGCGUUGUACGUCUGUACAGGUUCUUCCUUGUCCACUUUCCUCCUUGGCCCCGUUGGAAGUGGAUUUUAAUGGUUAUAUUUUCCUUGGAGUAAGUCCACUUAUUGUCCAUGACAUUUUGGGUAUGCAAAUGCUUUUUGAAGUCUAGGAUCUUAAUUCCUUUCAUAGUACAAUUUCUUCAAAAUCACAGUAGCCUUGUGACCUAUUUUCUUCCCGUGUAUACCGUGGGAUAGUUGCCACAGCCACAUAAUUUACUAAUUAAAUUCUCCAGCCUUAAUUGUUUCUCUGCCCUAUAGUCACUGCAUCAUUCUUUAACUUUUGUUUCUGCAGGUUCUCAUUCAAUGGGACAUAUUUCUUUGUGAGUUUUGGUUGACUUUGACUCUGAUGCUCAUUUCCCUUUGUAAAACUAUUUGUUGGGAUUCCCUGAAGUGUAGGAUGAGAGUUCUUUCUUCUGGGGAGAAUUCAGCUGUCCAACCAACCAGACUUGGCAGUGUCAUUUGAGCUCCACCCUUUGAGCCCAAUGUGCAGAGUGGGGUUUACCAUGUUAGGGGAACUUGGGCUGUGACUUCACAAUGACUGGGCCACACAUUUUUUUAUAUUUCUAUUCCUUUUUAAUUUAAUUUAAUUUGGGGGGUACCAGGGAUCAAACUCAGGACCUUGUGCUUGCGAGGCAGGCACGGUGCCACUGAGCUAAAUCCCCUGCCUCCUUUUUAACAUUCCAUUCAAUAUGACAGCUGCCUUCCCUGCAGUACUCAGGAGCUCAGAAAAAUGCAGAUGUACUUAUGGUUUGCUCUAGCCAGGAGGGCAGAGUUCUUUUCAUUUCUAGUGCAGUUCUGGGCC
Molecule: long non-coding RNA, 2870 nt
Organism: Heterocephalus glaber (naked mole-rat)
Lineage: Eukaryota; Metazoa; Chordata; Mammalia; Rodentia; Bathyergidae
Source: Ensembl